GGGGGGGGCAAGCGUUGUUCGGAAUUACUGGGCGUAAAGGGCUCGUAGGCGGCCAACUAAGUCAGACGUGAAAUCCCUCGGCUUAACCGGGGAACUGCGUCUGAUACUGGAUGGCUUGAGUGUAGGAGAGGGAUGCGGAAUUCCAGGUGUAGCGGUGAAAUGCGUAGAUAUCUGGAGGAACACCGGUGGCGAAGGCGGCAUCCUGGACUACUACUGACGCUGAGUGAGCGAAAGCCAGGGGAGCAAACGGGAUUAGAUACCCCGGUAGUCCUGGCCCUAAACGAUGAAUGCUUGGUGUGACGGGUAUCGAUCCCUGUCGUGCCGAAGCUAACGCAUUAAGCAUUCCGCCUGGGGAGUACGGUCGCAAGGCUG
Molecule: ribosomal RNA, 372 nt
Filed under: uncultured bacterium
Lineage: Bacteria
Description: bacterial SSU rRNA
Rfam family: Bacterial small subunit ribosomal RNA
Source: RNAcentral